Long non-coding RNA from Amblyraja radiata (thorny skate), 1499 nucleotides. RefSeq lists it as uncharacterized. Lineage: Eukaryota; Metazoa; Chordata; Chondrichthyes; Rajiformes; Rajidae. The record is from RefSeq and is a predicted model, not a curated record. The transcript is spliced from 2 exons.
AUAAAGCUAGGACAGUUUAGUUUUUCUUUCCGAGUGUAAAAUGCAUCCAGCAGCUUUUUGUGUGCGGAAACCCUGACCUCGGUAGCAGACCUGACCUCUGAAGAAACACUGUAGUCUCCAACAGAUGUUCAAUCUAUACGUAAAGCCAGAAGUGAGAAGUGACGCAGUGCAGCGUCGAAGCAGGCAGAAGAUCCAUCUUUCCAACUAAAGUGUCGAACCUUUCUCAGCAUCUUUCUCUCUCCCUCUAUAUCUUUCUGCUUCUCAGCUUCUGCUAAUCACCUGAGCAACAACCCUGCUGUGUUCAACUUCUGGCAGGGCAAGCAUAAGGCUCGGGACCUCUAUUUAACAACCAAUCUGGAAGUGUGCCAGCCUUGAUUAUGUAUUCAUCUCUUCUGAGCACCUUAAACCCAGGACUUCUUGGCCUCAUAAUAGACCAUGUCCUUCUCAAUAUACUCCUCAGAGAAAAGCUGUGAACAACAGGAACCAUCCUACAGUGUUCAUAAACAUACAGAAAGCUCUUAACCUAUUAGGAAUGCAUCUAUAAAUUCCUGCCAAAAUUGGCUUUCAAGUAUUCUCAUCAUUCAGGAAGAAAGGACAACAACCAUCCAGUGAGGGAAUUAAAUAUCUGUGAUACAGCAGAAGUUUCAACACACUGACAGGAUCAAACAAAGUCUGAACAAAUGCAAUACUCCACUGACAACUAGGAUAACCUUGUCACCCAUUCCUCAUUUCAGCAAAGGUAUGUCAAUUCUGGUGCAGUCACCAUGACAAGCCAGAGGGCCCAGAAUGAGGUUCACGGGCAAACAGAACAUAUUUUACUUUCUAUUUGGCAAAGAUGCUGCAGCCACUGUAGAGGUUAUGCCAGCUGCACUAUCAAACUCCCUCAGCACUGCCAAAUGUAACUAACCGACUGAAUUUAUCCAAAUUGUGUUGAUCAGGAUGUUAGGUCUUCUUUCUGACCGAGUCAAGGUUGACAUGUAUAAAAUAAAAAAACUAUUAGCAUUAACAGAAUGCACUGAUGUCCUGCAAAGCAGAACACCCAAAAGCACUACAACGAAGUUUGACAAUGAAGCUAAUGAUCUUAAUUAGAUUAAGAAAGAUAAUUUUAUUCCACUCAUUGAGUGUAUAUGAAAUGAUGAGGGAGACACACACCCUCGUAGGUUUUGGUACCAUCUGGAUAGUCAGCGAGUAACCAUAAUCUACAAGGAUAUACAUCAAGAGUGGGAAUUUGGGAAUGGUUAAAUUUCAGAUGGCAUUUCAACAAAAGGACAAAUUUAUAUUGUCAAUUUCUUAUUAUUCCUCCAGAGUUUUCACAUUCUUAAAAGUUAAUUUUCUUUUAACUGAUCAGUUUACUAUUCAAAAGGCAGAGAACAGGACAAAAAUGUUGGGCAAAAUGCAUUCCUUCCACAACCAUUGUAAUUACAACAGUGGUGGCAUUAAAUCGGAUGCAGGCAGCAACAUCAAACCCAAGACUUGUUAUGCGAAUCCUUCUGGACCAA